GUAGGGAAUAUUGGGCAAUGGUCGGAAGACUGACCCAGCCAUGCCGCGUGCAGGAAGACGGCCCUCUGGGUUGUAAACUGCUUUUAUCUGGGAAGAAAAAGGCCAUGCGUGGCAAAUUGCCGGUACCAGAUGAAUAAGCACCGGCUAACUCCGUGCCAGCAGCCGCGGUAAUACGGAGGGGUCGAGCGUUGUCCGGAUUUAUUGGGUUUAAAGGGUGCGUAUGCGGCUGAUUAAGUCAGCGGUGCAAGACUUCGGCUUAACCGGAGCAGUGCCGGUGAGACUGGUUGGCGUGAGUGUCGGAGGGGUACAUGGAAUUGAUGGUGUAGCGGUGAAAUGCAUAGAUACCAUCAGGAACACCGAUAGCGAAGGCAUUGUACUGGCCGACAACUGACGCUGAUGCACGAAAGUGUGGGGAUCGAACAGGAUUAGAAACCCGAGUAGUCC
RNAcentral lists this ribosomal RNA (444 nucleotides) under uncultured bacterium. RNAcentral's name for it is "partial 16S ribosomal RNA". It matches the Rfam family "Bacterial small subunit ribosomal RNA", at positions 354 to 796 of the family's 1533-position model. The record is from RNAcentral.